Stylophora pistillata is the source of this 5699-nucleotide long non-coding RNA. RefSeq lists it as uncharacterized. The record is from RefSeq and is a predicted model, not a curated record. NCBI's taxonomy places the organism in Eukaryota, Metazoa, Cnidaria, Anthozoa, Scleractinia, Pocilloporidae.
CAGCUGUCAACUGUCUCUUAAUUUUCGGUGAGAAACUGUACAAAACUUAUCUAAAGACUAAACUUACGUAUUGUCAUUAUUCGCGUUUAAGUGCAAUUAGAAGAAGAAAAUAUUUUGCUGUCAAAAUAAAUACAUUUAACACGUGCAAAGGAUGUAGGUAAACUGUCUAGGAAACGAACCUGGCCCUUUUUUUGAAGCAUCGUAGUCUCGAUAAAAAUUACGAAGAUAGAAAUCAGCAGGAAUAAUUGAGAUGAAAGUGAAAAAGACAAUUGAGGCGGGUUUCACGAUACGGUCGCGUCAAUUAACAUAUAACCAAGAAAUUAAUUCUAGGUUAAAUAAAUAACAUAAAUAUCGUCGCUUUUUCGCGGGCAGUGAAGCCCAAAACAACUUGGCUCUGGACAAACACCCAUCACUACUUGAUUUCUUGUUUGGUUCAAGCAUCGGCCACUGUCAUCAGUUGGUGAAUUUUUUUUCGAGCCUCCAUGUAAAGGCACGCCGUGUACUUGUGAGCUACAACAUGCCAACAGGUCAUGACUUGGUGUCACCAUUAUAUUUAAUUGCGAUGCAGCACAGUGGCGGCGAAACAUUUGUUAUGAUGCUCUGCUCAGUGUGUUGUGCUCGCUUCACACCUGUUUUAUUCGCAGCAAAUUGCGCAACUUCACAUUUCUUAUUUUACUUAAAAAUCGUGGCACGUUUAGUAUCACCUUCCUCAGUUCUUGAAAAGUAGAGAAUACGCUUCAGGCUGGCCGUUUAAAUUUCUUCCUUCAAGCUUUAUCUGAUAUAAGUAUCAAAGCGACCUUCCCAGAGUUAGUCUUCUUCCUACGUUUUGAGUAUGGAAAUGCGCGAUUGAAACCGGGGAAGCGAAUAGACAUCUUCUGGCGUCUGUGCCCAAGUACCUGAAUGCCAAGUUGGAUUGAAGUUAAGUGAUCAGUUCUUCUUGAAGAAAGACUCGCAUCCUAUGACAUAUAUUGCUCUGAAAGGCAGUAGACACUUUCACAAGAGGUGAAGAAGCAGAAAGAGUACAAUAGGGACGACAUACAGAUACCAAAGUAAUCUGUAUAAUCAAAGACAUUGAACUACAAACGAGAAGAAAUAAAAGCUAAUAUGGAACACAAGGAUCAAAACAAGACAUUGAUAUCGAGGGACUCCAACGCUGGACUCUGAGUCAGCAGCAAACUGAGGAUUGGUGGCACACAACAAAUCUCUUAAAAGAGUAUCAAUCAGUAUCGGACCUUAGUUUCCGAUUUGUCCCCGAAAAACUUAGACAACGACUUUUUAAGACCAUUCGGAAACAGGUUUCUUUCUUUUUUUUUUGUCAAACUCUAGCAUGUAUGGAUUGCACGCCUGUUUAUCCUUUAACGUACUCAGUUGCUUUUAGUAAAAGCAAUCUACGUUAUCGAAAAACAUGAUUCAAUUGCAAAAUUUUGGCUCUGAAAAGCAAUAUUGUUCACUCAUGCGUGGCAAAUACAUUUCUUUUAAAUUCUGAUGUACUACUCAAAAAACUCAUCCAAAAGCUCUGACGACAAUCCUUACUAAACUUCACAACAUCACUUUUGACGACCAGGUUAUCAUUUUUGUGGACAUGUUAAGCAAAUUUUACUAACGAACUAAAACCGAAAUCCGCAGAUUUCGUUUGUUUCUAUUUGUUGUAUUAUUCCUGACCGAAGAUUUACAGCUUAAAGGUACCAGUGCCGCCUCUAUAAUUACCACGUGGCGAAAGAGACAUCAAAGACACUUUCACAAUCAUCUGUUCUGGUGGAUUAUUUCAUUUUUAGCCUAGGCUGGGACACUUUAAGACUAUAAAAUUAAGCAAUAUUUAAUUCGUUUCUCUUUUAAGUCCAGGCUUGUAAGGGGUUCAUUAUGCAUCUCUUCGCUGUUUCCACACAGCUGUUAAACUAUGUACAGGAGGCGGGUCACCUGUGAAGGUUCGUGUCUUGUGGAAUGUUGGCUCUUCACAGCAGGGCUGUAAUGAAUUUUUUACGUUGUUUUGGUGCCAGAAUUUUUCCAUUUAUUGUUUUUUCCUGAGAUAAGAAUCUUCUCUGCCGGCAAGCAGAAAAAACUUACGACCUUGUUUACAUGAAACUGGGGGAAAAAGCAGGAAUUUUACCAAGAAAAUACAAUAACUGCCCAGCUAGGCACCCCUCCCUUUGUAGCCUUUCCAAGUAGCCUUACGACAGGUAAACUGUUGUUUCCGGAAGGUGUCCAAACUAUCCUCGCUUAUUAGAUUGUUUUUUUUUUUUUUUUAAUGUGUUUGUUUGUGAGGCAUUUUUGCUGCAAGGCAAAUGUAUAUCAUUUUGUCAAAUUAUUUCAAACGAAAGUUGUUUGGCACCUUUUAGUUAAAUUGACCUUCCAAAAUUUCAAUAAGUAUAUGCAACAUUUACUCCAAUAGAUAUAAUUUUGUUAGCCUUUCAAAAUAUCUAGCGUUAGCCUCAAAACAUUCCUUCAUAUUCAGGUGCAAUGUUUGGAGAACAACAACAGAUUUUUCUUUUUUCUAAUACCAUACGUAAGCACUCAAGAAUAGCUCACGCACGUUUCAAUUCAAGACUGUUUUCCUUUACACUCAACAUUAAUUCAUUUGGGCUACAGUUGAUAUCAAAAAUGUAACCUUCCUAUUUUAGACUGUAAGCUUUCGGUUCGACCUUGUUGAGCUGCGUCGUUGCUGUACUUUGCGUCGGCGAUUAGCAGUGAAAAUUACUAUUACUAUUACUAGACUCUCCCUAUAGGAAAUAAUAGAAUUUUCCGCUCGGUUGGUUAAUUUCGCAAUAAAAUCUCAACAUCUUUCCGUAACAUUUUCAGUUCAUUUCUUGGCAUAACCGCCUUGCCAUUGCCAUUCAAUGGCUCAUGUUUUGUCAUGUUGCUCUGGGACGGUGUGAUGUGCCUUUUAAAAUAGCAAAUUCCCGUGGUUCACCACACGAAGAGGUCGAUUUCUUUAUUUGUACCUCCAAACAAUAUAUGGAAAGUUUUGCAAAGGGUUCAAUCUUUUUUACUAGUAAAUGUAUACAUUCAAUAACAUGUUGCAGUUUCUAGCAUCACAUCUUUUCGAGAUGUCUCGAAAUUUAUGUAAGCAAGAAUAACCUUUAAAUACCUCUUGAAACUAAAUUCUGGUUAUAAUAACAAAUACUAACUUGCUAUUUAAUCACUAAGGAUCGUUUAAAGAUAACCAUCAUAUUCAAUUCGCUGAUCAGCGACCAAGCGUUCAGUUCGACGUGCAUCAGCCGCAGCGUAAAGAACUAAAUAACCACAUAGACUGGCCGACCCUUCGACAGUAAUUCUUCGUGUUGGUGAUCAAAGUUUGUCGUCGCUAAGCUCUCUCAGGCAACUACGUUACCCAGUUCAGAUUUCUUUCCCUUGAACUUGCCCGCUUGUUGAGCACAAGUUUCAGUUACAGUACAUGCUUUGUUUCCAAGCUAUUCACAUCAUGGCAGUUUGGCGAUGUGACUCGGUCUGUUCUCAUUACUGAGGAGUGUUAAAGUUGUUUGUAGACUCGAAGGCAGGCAUUUCUAACCGGGGCCAAGGAAAGCUACUGGUUAUAAUUCGGUCCAUUCUGUGCUAAAUCGCGGUAAUGGAAGCUCAUAAACGGAAGCUAAAAGUGCUUUUUAGACGUACAAACAAGCUCAGUGUCAGUGUUCCGGAUAUAUGCAGCCAUGAUUUCUCCUGAAUAUUUUUCAAGGAACGAAGGUCUUGAGCAUCAUUAAGAAACAAGCCCCUACUCGUGACUCAGUUGCAUCGUAACAUUAAUCAAGUUCCAGCAAGCGAGAAUUUCUGCAAACCAAUGUACACUGCCAAACAAAUUUCAGAGCAAAGAUCCACAGAGACCGAUUCAAAAGCAACCGCAAACAUACCGGCCAAGAUCCAGAGACAUGCACAAAUGUGUCCUCGGCCGGCCUUCUUUGAACGAAACACCAGUCUGCAAGCAGUUGGUUGUCGGUUAGAUGAUCACCACGAUAAAAAGAUAAAACCUGUUUCGGCAGUGACGCCAUCACAUGACCACUGUCUGCCUUAUUCGAUUGAACAAAGAGGUCUUAUACACGAAGGGUUUGGUAGAGAGCAUACCUUUGUUCCUUCUAGACAACUGUCUAAGAGUUCCAGUAAACAAGUCAGCUUGGGCAAAGUUAACCCUUCAUAACUGACGUGGCUCAGAAAUCAGGAAAAGUUGGCCUUUACUACUGAAUUGGUCCCAUCCUGGGGUAUUUAGCAAACGCCACGGAAAUGCGAGAGAUCCACCGCCUGUUUGCGUAACAAGGUCUGAUGUGAAGUUUCAAUUGCUGUAGCUUCAUGCCGGAUAAUAAAUAGAGGUAUUUCUGCUCGAUGCAUCAGCUAUUCCUAGGUCUAGCCGUGUUUUUGAUUUUUUGUGUAAGUGCUUCAGUUUACUAAAUGGUAAGACUUGUGAUUUUAGGGUGUAAAUCUGUGAGAGGUCGUCAAGGAAGAAUAAAAAGGGUAUUAAUAGUUCUUAUUGCAUCAAAGAUUGGGUCCUCACCUUCCACAAAGGCCACAGACUCCGUACAUUAAAAAAAGUCAUGUCUAGGAGCAGAACUUUCGUUUAACGAUCUUACUUAGUGAAGUUUUACUUGAGGAUUUUGUGUUCCAGCUUCAGUUGUGUAGUUCCUUGUGAGCUCUUUCUUUCUUGGUAAAAUCUGAUUGAUACCUUUGAUGUACAGUUCUUCGUAGAGAAAAGAUGUCACAGGAAUUCUUGCACAACAUUUACUUUGCCUGGCUGGCAAAGGUAACUUCAAUCAAAGAUUAAACAGCCCGUCAGUAACUGUGAAGAGUUUUGACUUUACUUUAACAUGGAGUACAAACGUGCGGCAGAAAUUCACGGUACCGGAGCGUCUGAUGUCGAAGUGAUCUUUUCUUGUAGUUACAACUGCCCUCAGUUUAAAACAAAAGCUUUCCGACAAGAUCUGAGGAGAACUAAGGUCUAAGGGUAAAUCUCAUUGGUGAUGAUUAUUUUGUUGAAAAAAGAUAAAAACACAAGGAACAUUCACAGAAAAAAACAAAAAAAACAAAACAAAACAAAACAGACAUAAUGCUCGACCGAAUAAUUAUCGAAAGCAAUGACCAGUGAGGCAUUGAACGACUCAAAGACUCUGCUCUGGAGGAAUGGCGCAGAGGUAUCUUUUGCUUUUGCGUGAAAACAUUCAUCCUGCUAUGAAUACUAAUCUGAGAAUAUAGAUUCUAACAUUUGCACUUUUUAUCGACAGGCUUCAAGAGUCUUAAGAAAGCCGUAAGACAUGCCAUCAAGUCUUUGGAUAGAGAAUGAUUAACAUGCAUCAGAAGCUGUCGCUAAUUCUUUCAUAAUCCAAGCCUUUUUUUUUUCUUUCCUCAGAGGUGAUAUCGGAGUGGGCCAGAGUGGCAAACACUGCCGAAGAAGUCCAAUAUCAUACAAACAAGGAUAUUUUUAGACAUAAUUUCACGCCCUCGGGGUGUUAUCUACGAAACUAUGUCGGUAAACCACAAGCUGUAUAAAUGAAUAUGAUCUGUAUUUGUUGCCCUGAGAAAUUCUACCCCGUUUCCACCAGUUGGGAGUUUUCUUUGCGAGUCUCAUGCUCAAUUAAUUCUUUCCCGCCCCAUUGCUUUUAGUCGAGAUAAAAGCCCAGAACUGAGGCGAUAUUAACAUGGGUCCUUGAAAUUAGCUUAGUUGAGCUAGGCAGUCGUGUGUGCUCGACAUCUACUUGAUCAAUAAAAAAGUCUACACCUCA